CCAGAAUUCCUAGAUUUUCACAGGUGUAUUUCUCUGGCUACAGAGUAAGUGAGCUUCCCCAGGGGGUUCUGAUGAGGGACCUGUCUUGGUUACUGACCCUGAAAAGCGGUGUUCAGCCAGACCCUUUGGCCUUUGAGGUCUGUUUACUAUGGUUGGAACAAGUGGUCAGGAAGGAACAGUGUAUCAGGUUGUGCUUGCUUUUCUGGAUUUGCUUAAGUGGUUUUUAAAAAUAGAUGUUACGCAAAUAUAACAGAUUAUGCCUAACUUGGGAUAGUGGGAGCCUACUGCACCCCUGGAGAUUGGUGCAUUUCAACCAGUGUCCCAUCUUGUGUGCAGAUGAAGGAAUAGAGAUCUCUUGUCUAAUCUGAAUAUUCGGCAGCACCUGCAGUUUUCCAGGUAGGCCUUGCUGCAGGUCUUCAGGUUGUUCUGUCUGCUUGUUUUUCCCUGUUCAGUUCUUGAUACUAGUCAGACCUGGUCUGUAUCCGAAUCCCCAUGACGCAGAGCCAGUCAGCCUGGAACUGCGCUGUUUGUGUGCUCAGGUCCUGAACCAAGUGUACAGGUACAUGCCCCUUGCAUAUAACCUGCCUCAUUAUUCAGUUCUCCCACAGGUCUGGGCCACUCUUAAGACUGUGACCCUUUGAUUUGGGGCCAAGAUUUCCUUCCUAGCUCUUGCCAUUCUCUCUCCCAGGAGCUAGAUCCUGACCGAAUAGCUGUUAUCUGGGCUUCAACCAGUCCUGUGUGUCAUGAGCUUAUGAAUAUUGUUCAUUCAUUUAUUAUUUGUUGGUUUUUUUUUUUUUUUUUUAAUAGCAGCUUCCUUUUUUUUAUUCUUCUUUUUAGGGCUACACCUGCAGCAUAUGCAGUUCUUGAGCUAGGGGUCAAAUCAGAGCUGCAGCUGCCAGCCUAUGCCACAGCCACAGCUGCACCGGAUCCUUAACCCACUGUGCAAGGCCAGGGAUCAAAUCUGCAUCCUCACAGACACUGUGUCGGGUUCUUAACCUGCUGAGCCACAAUGGGAGCUUCCCAUUAUUUAGGGGAACAAAAUGGUGUAACCCUUGUUCUCAGAGAGUUUAGAUUCUAGUGGGGAAGAAAGAUAUUAAGCCAAUAACCAGACAAGUAAAUAUCCAGUUACAAACUGUGAUAAAUCCUAUGAUGGAUGAGAACUAAAUUCUCAGAAGAAGUAGCAGGCAGGAUCUAAUUUGGAUUGGGUGGGGGUGAGGAAAGUUCUCCCAGAGUUAGCCAAGUGAGGACGAUGAGAAAGGUGAGCAAAUGCAGGUGAAAGGUCUCAGAGGUGGCACUGAGCUUGGCCUCUUUAAUGACUUCCACAGUGGCCAGUGAGAUGAGAGCACUGAUGGCCAACCCUGACUGUGUGAGCAUCCAGUGGCUGCCAUAACUAAUCCUUGCAAACAUACAGCCUGCAACAACAGGACUUACUUUCUCAUAGAUCUGGAGGCCACAAGUACAAAAGAAUAUCCCCGGGCUAAAAUCCAGGGCAGUGCUCCUUCCAGAGGCUUGAGGAGAGCCUUGCUGUUCCAGCCGUUCUUUACUGUUACAGCUUUCGGUGGCUGCCCACAUUCCUUGGCUUGUGGCCACGGCACUCCAGAUCUUCAGAUCUCUCUCUGCUCUACCUUCAUGUCACCUUUUCUGCUGUGUUUCUCAAAUCUCCCUCUGCCUCUCUUGUAUAAGGACAACUGUGACUGUAUUUGGAGCCCACCCAAAUAAUGUAGGGGAAUCUUCCUAACUCCAGAUCCUUAAUCAUAUUAGCAAAAUCCUUUUUUUUUUUUUUUCAUAUCAGGAAACAUCUAUAGGUUUCAGGGAUUAGGACCUGAUAUCUUUGGGGGCCAUUAUUCAGCCCAUUACUCUGGAUUGCUUUAGUAAUCCCUGGAGGAACUUUUAUUUUUAUUUUUAAAAUUUUUUUACUUAUUUUUUCGCUUUGUAGGGCCAUACCCCUGGCAUAUAGAAGCUCCCAGGCUAAGGGUCGACUCAAAGCUACAGCUGCAACGCGGGAUCCGAGGUGCAACCUACACCACAGCUGAUGGCAACACCAGAUCCUUAACCCCCUGAGCAAGGCCAGGGAUCAAACCCGUAUCCUCAUGGAUGUUAAUCGGGUUCGUUAACUGCUGGGAGCUCCCCUGGAGGAGCUUUUAAAUCUGCAUCGCCCACGCUCCACCUUACAUCACUUAAAUCAGAAUCUCUCUGUGAGGCUGGGGCAUGGAUAUUUUUAAAAGCCUCCCCAGGCGAUUCUGAAACAACUGCUAGACUCUGUGGCAGAUAACGUCUGGCCUAGAGCAUGAUGAAGGAAGAGCAGGUGUAGUAACAGGCAGGAUGUCAUCACAAUUUGGACACUUCUCCUGCUUUUAACCUGAUGGGACCUGUUGGCCAUCAAUGCCGACUGAAGGAAGCCCUCGCUGAAUGGACCUCUUGGGAAGGUUUUGUGGUUUAACUUCACUGGGAGCAUCUUGGCCCUGCUUCCUUCCAUUCCUGCUUCUUCUUUGCCAUCCAUCUGACGCUGAGGUCUUGGAGCACGUGAUGCCUCAGUCUGCCCAAGUUCUAAAGACGGCAUAGAGCUUACAAGUGAAGGGGGCUCAAACGUCGCUCAUACUUUGCAGGCCUCACACAGAUAGAGCUCACACAAAUACAGCUGGGCGCUCCAGAGCUGUAAGCCCAAGUCUGAAGAUACCUUUGUAAAUUUGUAGGGAAAAAACAAAACCAAACAACUAAGGUUUGAACUACAAACAACCUUAGAGGCAGGCCCAGAACUGAGGAAGCAUGUCAGAGCCUCCAGAACUCAUGACUUGUUUUAGCCGUAGAGAGGGGAUAUUUUUCCUUUCUCACUGGACCCACUUAUCUAUGAAGAUGCUGGUGUUUUUCAGUGAAUGUAUUUGGGGAAAAUGGUAAUUGGGUCUAUCAAGAUCCCUGUGUUGAUGUGCAGCUUUGGCCCUAAGGACAAACGUAGACUCGGAACCACAUAGGCUUGUCACCUGGGAGCUACGAGGAUGACCAGGGAAUGUGCUAAGAAUUUGAUUGUCUGAGAACAAGAACCAAUUUAGGGAGUUCCUCAGUAGCUAUUUGCUAGUAGAUCAGUGUUUUCAAAACCCAGUUAGAAAGUCCCAAGCCCCACUCACCCCUGGACCACUAAUAUCAGGGAAGCCAUCUUUGCUUUUACAAAUCACUGAAUUGUCUCUGGGGAGGCAAAGAGGCAAUGAUCUCUUGGGGGCUGCUGUCUUUUUUACGGUCAUCAGAUCUUGUCAUGGGCUCCAGCCACAGGGGAAUGUUGGUAACACCUGGAAAAGGGAGGGUUGUCUCUUUAAGUACUGGGAAUGUUUAACUGGAAAUCCUUUGUGGAUGGGUCCAAGAUCUGUAUAGCCUCUGUCCUUCUGAUGUGGAACGCCUCCCUAGCACAGGGCCCCAAUUGGUCUCCUGCUCUUUGUUGCCAACAACCAUCUCAGCUUGGGCCAGACGUCAUGAAAAGAUCCAGUAACAGCAUGAUGCUUCAUGUGGGGGGUCCUUCCGUGGUCUUCCUCUUUGUAGCUACCCUCUUGUCUCCAGCAUCACUUGCACCCCAUUUUCUCCUAUCACAAUGCAAAUAUGAACUGUGUCUGUUUAUUAGUGGGUUUCCUUCGGAGUACUCUUUCAGUUUAGGGAGGCUGGGGGGGGGCAUUCUUUUCUGAAUUUUUAGUGUUGCAUAUGCUCAAUGCUCAAAGAAAGGUUUGACUUUCUGGUGGGCUCCCUUUCUGAACCUCUUUUUAAAGCUUCCUGUUGGACAUACCCUUUCUUUUCCAAAAUGGCAGUUUCGUGUCCUGUGAGACAGGAAAUGCCUUUUCUCUUGAUUGCCCCUUUUCAGUGGAAAUCUAUCACAAAGGCAAUCACAAAGAAUUCUUUCCUGCUAAGAAGUUGGGUGCUCCAGUCAUACCUGUCUUAUCUAGAAAGUGGUUCAAUUAUUUUCAUCUCUGACAAAAUGAUGAACUUCAGAGGAUUUGCCCAAGGAGAGAGGGUGGAAGGGUUGGCAUGGCUAGCUUCACUACCCUCAUGUGGAGUCAGAAACCUGAAAACAGCCUCGCUCUCAAGCAUGCAUUCCCCUCUUUGUCCGGGGAGUAACGAUGGCUGAGGCGUUGGCAUGCAGAUACUUGCAGAGUGAAAAUGGAUACACUUCCCCAGCUCCUCAUCCCUGGCCUGGAGGACAGCCUGCCAGCCGUGCAUGCAUGUUGGUUUGGCACUGAGACAAAUGUUCCCUGGAGCAUAGACUGAAACCACCAAACUGAUAUCACAGGGGACACCGGCCAAAUCCUGACCUCGCUCUCUGCAGGUGAGAGGCUGUGGAAUUAACCUGUGAUGCUCUCCGGCUCCCGCCUGGUGGGUGGUCUGGAUUUGUUUUCUUUUUCUUUUUUUUUCUUUUUAAUGCCACAUUUGAAUCUCCUUGCUCUCCCCACCCAACUGGUAUCUACCAGCCACAGAGCCACUCUGCCGGUCUUGGCUUGGGAACAGUGGGCAGUGACUUGGCUCCAAGAAAUGGGCAAACCACACGAUUUCUUCUUGCCCCUUGAGAGGGAAGGGCCACUCAUGGGCUGUUCCAGCCUCGAGCCCGGGUGGCAGGGCCCUCGGGCUGGCAUCGCUGGCAUCUGUGGUCGCGGUCUGCUCCUUUUGCGUCCCUCUCUUCCGCAUUUUUCCUCCCACCGUUCCAACUUCUCCCAUCUCCCCCCCGCCUUUUUUGUUUCCAACCCUUAUUUAUUCAGAGCUUCCAAUAUUCUAAGUUUUUCAUGAAUCCAGGGCUUUAAUUUAGCAUGUGGGGUGCUGGCGCUUCCAGCGAGCUGCUUGGGUCAUUAUUUCCAACGUGAAGGAAUAAAGAGGCAGCAGGGUGCAGUGGACAGCAUGGGGGCUGGACGCCAGAAGGCCCCGUGCUAGUCCCUGUCUUGCAUCUAAGCAGCUCUGGAACCCUGGCCGGGCCUCGCCCUGGCUGCCAGGCUCAGUUUCCUCCCCAGAGGGAUGGGGAAUCGGGGCGAGAUGAUUUCUAAGGCUCGUCUCAUUCUGUGAUUCUGUGGAGCUCACUGGCCACGUGAAAUCCACAUUGGGUUGUGCCAGUGUCACUUUCCUUUGUGUUUUGAAAAACUAUAUUGUUACGAGGAUGAAUGAGGAGAUGUGAGCAGAGUCCCUAAGCUCGAUGUCUCCAACGCAGAAGACCAAGGGGAAAACCUUCCUGGAAAUCACUUUCCAGGGGCCAU
RNAcentral lists this long non-coding RNA (5216 nucleotides) under Sus scrofa (pig). RNAcentral describes it as "lncRNA (ENSSSCG00065032036.1)". Lineage: Eukaryota; Metazoa; Chordata; Mammalia; Artiodactyla; Suidae. The record is from RNAcentral.